RNAcentral lists this ribosomal RNA (473 nucleotides) under uncultured organism. RNAcentral describes it as "partial 16S ribosomal RNA". It matches the Rfam family "Bacterial small subunit ribosomal RNA", at positions 335 to 799 of the family's 1533-position model. The record is from RNAcentral.
ACUCCUGCGGGAGGCAGCAGUGGGGAAUUUUGGACAAUGGGCGAAAGCCUGAUCCAGCAAUGCCGCGUGAGUGAAGAAGGCCUUCGGGUUGUAAAGCUCUUUUGUCAGGGAAGAAACGGUGAGAGCUAAUAUCUUUUGCUAAUGACGGUACCUGAAGAAUAAGCACCGGCUAACUACGUGCCAGCAGCCGCGGUAAUACGUAGGGUGCAAGCGUUAAUCGGAAUUACUGGGCGUAAAGCGUGCGCAGGCGGUUUUGUAAGUCUGAUGUGAAAUCCCCGGGCUCAACCUGGGAAUUGCAUUGGAGACUGCAAGGCUAGAAUCUGGCAGAGGGGGGUAGAAUUCCACGUGUAGCAGUGAAAUGCGUAGAUAUGUGGAGGAACACCGAUGGCGAAGGCAGCCCCCUGGGUCAAGAUUGACGCUCAUGCACGAAAGCGUGGGGAGCAAACAGGAUUAGAUACCCGAGUAGUCCCAUG